GAUGAACGCUGGCGGCGUGCCUAAUACAUGCAAGUCGAGCGAACAGACGAGGAGCUCGCUCCUCUGACGUUAGCGGCGGACGGGUGAGUAACACGUGGAUAACCUACCUAUAAGACUGGGAUAACUUCGGGAAACCGGAGCUAAUACCGGCUCAUAUAAUCAACCGCAUGGAUCAAUAGUGAAACACGGCUUUGCUGUCUCUUAUAGCUGAAUUCGGGCCGCAUUAGCUAGUUGGUAAGGUAACGGCUUACCAAGGCAACGAUGCGUAGCCGACCUGAGAGGGUGAUCAGCCACACUGGAACUGAGACACGGUCCAGACUCCUACGGGAGGCAGCAGUAGGGAAUCUUGCGCAAUGGGCGAAAGCUUGACGGAGCAACGCCGCGUGAGUGAUGAAGGUCUUCGGAUCGUAAAACUCUGUUAUUAGGGAAGAACAAAUGUGUAAGUAACUAUGCACGUCUUGACGGUACCUAAUCAGAAAGCCACGGCUAACUACGUG
RNAcentral lists this ribosomal RNA (497 nucleotides) under uncultured bacterium. Its description in RNAcentral is "partial 16S ribosomal RNA". It matches the Rfam family "Bacterial small subunit ribosomal RNA", at positions 28 to 507 of the family's 1533-position model. The record is from RNAcentral.